RNAcentral lists this unclassified non-coding RNA (386 nucleotides) under uncultured fungus. RNAcentral describes it as "partial contains small subunit ribosomal RNA, internal transcribed spacer 1, and 5.8S ribosomal RNA". The stretch from base 1 to 73 matches the Rfam family "Eukaryotic small subunit ribosomal RNA", at positions 1759 to 1831 of the family's 1831-position model. The record is from RNAcentral. Lineage: Eukaryota; Fungi.
GCAAACUUGGUCAUUUAGAGGAAGUAAAAGUCGUAACAAGGUUUCCGUAGGUGAACCUGCGGAAGGAUCAUUACUGAGUUAUAUGUGGGUUUGAUGCUGGCCUUUCGAGGCAUGUGCUCGCCCCGCUCAAUCCACUUCUACACCUGUGCACCUUUGAAAGAUGAGCAGUUUUGGUCUUGAAUGCUUUCCCAGCCUGUUGGCAGGAGCAGGGCUCCCUAUAUGCGCGCAUAUAGGUUGAACCCCGAAAGUAUUGAUGGCCUAUUCUGUCUCUCUUUCACUCUUAUACACACCAUAAAGUCUAGUGAAUGUAACUGCCUAUGGGCAAUAAAUAUAAUACAACUUUCAACAACGGAUCUCUUGGCUCUCGCAUCGAUGAAGAACGCAGC